Nycticebus coucang (slow loris) is the source of this 101-nucleotide small nucleolar RNA. RefSeq annotates it as small nucleolar RNA U13. The record is from RefSeq and is a predicted model, not a curated record. Lineage: Eukaryota; Metazoa; Chordata; Mammalia; Primates; Lorisidae. The transcript has a single exon.
AUCCUUUUGUAGUUCAGAAGUGUAAUGAUUGGGUCUUCAGGCGCAUGCGUGAGAUGUGCCUCCCACAAAUCUUGUUAUGACAGCACAUUACCCAUCUGACG